This 2565-nucleotide long non-coding RNA is filed under the name Homo sapiens (human). RNAcentral describes it as "HSALNT0207242". Lineage: Eukaryota; Metazoa; Chordata; Mammalia; Primates; Hominidae. The record is from RNAcentral.
UGAUCUCCUGACCUCGUGAUCCACCCGUCUCGGCCUCCCAAAGUGCUGGGAUUACAGGCAUGAGCCACCCUGCCCAGCCAAUUAAUACAUUUUGCAGCUCUGUCGUUUAGUGUAUAUAUGUUUAAAAUUGCUAUGCCAUCUUAGCAAAUUGACCUUUAUCUCAUUAUAUAAUUGUCUUGGCUCUGAAGUCUACUUUAUCUGAUAUUAAUAGGACUGCCUCUUUUGAUUGUUUGCAUGGUAUAUAUAUUUUUCUAUUUUUUUCCCCUUUCAUUCUACUAUGCGAUUGUGAUUGAAGGAUAGACAGCAUAUAGUUGGGCCAUUUUUUUUAAUGCUGCCUUCUAAUCUCUAUCUUCUAGUUGGUAUAUUUAGACCAUUUACAUUUGAUGUAAUUUGAUAUGUAAGGCUUGAGUCUGCUAUUAUAUUUUUUGUUUUCUAUUCAUUCUCUGUUUUCCAUUUCUCUCUUUUUUGUGCUUUCCUGUGAAUUAUUUGAACAAUUUUUUUUAGAAUUCCAGUUUGAUUUGUCCAUAAUGUUUCCCAGUGCAUCUUUUUUGAGGAGUUUCUUUAGGUGCUACUUUACAUGUACAUAACUUAUUUCUGUCUACUGCUGUUGAUAUUUUAUGGUGUGAAUGAACGCAAUCUCCUUUUAUGUCCCUUUACAUUCCCCUGUUUAUGGUAUAAAUAUUUCCUCUACAAACAUUGAGAACCACGCUAAAUGGUGGUACUGUCUGUGCCUCAUAUAUAAUUUAGAAAACUCAAGAGUAGAAGAGAGCCUAUUGUAGUUAUUCAUAUUUUCAUUCUUUUCAUUGUACUUUCUUCCUGAUGUUUCGUGAUUCUGUCUUUUUCAUUUCCUAUUUCAAGAACUACCCAUUCUUUUGGGAUAGGUAUGAUGGCAGCAAAUUCUUUUUGUUUUCCUCCAUGUGAAAUAUCUUGACUCUCCUUUCAUUCCUGAAGACUAUUUUCACAAGAUAUAGAAUUCUGAGUUAACACUUGAUAAAUGUUGUGCCACUUCCUUCUGGCCUUUGUGGUUUGUAGUGAGAACUUUUCUUUCAUUCAAAUAGUUUUCCCCUGAUGCUAGGAUGUUAUUUCUCUCUGGCUGUUUUCAAUAUUUUUUUUUCUUUGUCUUCAGUUUUUCGGAGUUUGACUAUGAAAUGUCUUGACAUGGUUUCCUUGAGUUUGUUCAGCUUCUUGAAUCUAUAGGUUUAUGUCUUUUGCCAAAUUUGGGGAUUUUUCAGACAUUAUUCCUUGACAACUUUUUAGUCCUAUGCACAUUCUGCUCUCCUUCUAGAACCCUGGUGAUGUGGAUGUUAAUUAUUUUGUUAUAGUCCCAUGGGUCUCUGAGGCUUUCUUCAUUUUUAAAAAAUAUAUUUUCUCUUUGUUGUUCAGAUUGAAUGACUUCUAUUAUUCUAACAUUUCCAGACUUCUAUUUUGGGUAAUGAAAGACUAGUUAAUUCAGACCAAUCCUCCCAUUUCAAACACAUGAAACUAGAAGAGAUUUACAGGUGUUACAGACAAUGCACUAUGAAUAAGAUGCUCAAGGGAAAUCAAAGAAAAGAUUGGGAAUGUUUGGCAAAGAAUUUAGAGAACAACAACAAAAAAAAGCCAGUAGGAACUCUAGAACUAAAAAACAUUAACUGAAAUUAAAAAUCAACGUGUGACCUUAACAGCAGUUUAGAUACAACUAAAAAAAAAAAUGGUGGUGACAUGAAGAAAACAGACACAUGAAAACAUGCUGAGAAAAGGAUUUAAAAUAUGAGAAAGAAUAUGAAAUACAUAGGGGACAGAGUGAAAAAGCAUAACAUUCAUAUAAUUGGAAUCCAGAAGGAGGGGAGAGAGAAAAUGUGUCAGAGACAAUAACUGAAGAGAACAUGGCCAGUGACACUCCCAAUAUGGCAAAAGACAUCAAGGCAAUGAUAAAAGUGCCACAAACCACAGCCACACUUGCCUAAGGAAAGCCAUGCCGAGGCAAAUGUAAGCAAAAUCCUCGGAGAGCAAAAACAGAGACAGUCUUAAUAGCCAGAGGAAAAAAGAGGUUAUCGUCAAAGGCGCACCAAUUAACCUGAUAGUUGAUAUUUCAGCAGAAAGAAAACAUAGAGGCCAGAUGAAGAUGGAAUUAUAUUUCCAAGUGCAGAAAGAAAACAACUGCCAAUCUAGAAUUCUAUACUCAGCCUAAAUAUAUUUUACAAAGAAAGAGAAACAAAGGCUUUUUUAGAAGAACGGAAAUGAAAAAGAUUUACCACCAGCAGAUUUAUAGUAAAUGAAACACUAAAGACCAUUUCCUUCAGGCAGAAGAAAAAUGAUACUAGAUGAAGGCUAGCACUGUAGGCAGGAACACACAACAGUGGAUGCCAUGAAUACAGGAUAAAUAUGAAUGGAUAUUGAUUAGAAAAAACAAUGUCUUAGGUUUAACAUAUGCAAACUUAAAUACAUAACAAAAAUAACUCACCAAUAAAGAAGACGGUAAAUAUUAUUAAAGUGCUCUGUUACCUUUGAAAUGUCCUAAAAGAGGUAAAAGUACCAUUUAUAUUAAACUUUGAUAUGUCAAGGAUAUUUGUUGUAGUUUCUAGG